GUAGCACUAGAUAUUUUCCCGCCGCGCGCGGCCCGCCCCCGCUGCCGCCACCUCCUGCCCUGCACCGCGCCGCCCGCCCCCACCCUCCCGCCGCAGCUGUCCGAGGUAGACUGGAUCCGCGGCGAGAGGCAGGUUCUGGCAGCGGAGGGUCGAUCGAUGGGGCGACCUGCGGGUGAGCGGCGGCGGCGGGGCUGAAUCUAGUCGAUGGGGUCUACCUGGCGGAUGAGUUUGGCAGCCCGGCAGCAGUAGCGCUCCGUCCACACCCCGCGCUGGACCGGCAGCAGCGUCGCUCCCUCCAUCCUCACCCCGUGCUGGACCGGCAGCAGCAGAACGGAUGAAUUCUACCUCCUGCUCAGCCACGAAGGGCUCCACCCCAGGCCACAAAUCGUCCCCAUCGAGAUAUGGACGGCGGCGAAGCUGCAACUCGGGUGGCGCCAUGGCUCCCUGUGCAGAGAAAACGAGACGAGGGGGAGAUCAGGGAGGAGCAGCAGGAGGAGUGAAGGAAAAAGAAGGCGGUGGAGAAGGCCUUGCUCGCCGGAGAGCUCAACUUGCAUUGACGAACUCCAAGGCGCAUGUUCUGGCAACAGAGGGCUGGAUCCGGUCGACGGGAAGACCUGUAGGCGAGCGGCAGCGACGGUUUGGGACGGUCGCGAAGCUGCAACUCGGGCAGCGCCAUGGCUCCCUAAGCAGAGAAAACGAGACGAGGGGGAGGUCAGGGAGGAGCAGCAGGACGAGUGAAGGAAAAGAAGGCGGUGGAGAAGGCGAGGAACUCCGAGGCGGCGGCGCCCGCUGUAGCAGGAGGUGGGUCGGGUGCACCGACAUGAUAGCUGUGCUUGGUGGGAACUGAUUGCGGGCAUGGGAACCGUGGAUCGACCCCCACGUACACAGGUGCUAUACAUUUUUUCGUAUGCCUCUUCUAGAUUUCGUUUUGAGCUGAUGGGUGCGAGAUGUGGCAUCAUGUCUCGGCUCUACAAAAUCCAUGGCUGAAGUGCGUGUCCCAGGGUCACAGUCUCCAUUAUUUCUUCAGUUCCUCGCUUCCCGCUUGUUUCAAGAACAAAAACAUUCAGUGAGGAAGACCAGUAACAAAUUUGGAUGUUGUAUGCACCUUCAUCUUGCAGUCCAAUUACUUGGACUGUUUGCGACAAAUUCGUUUGUUUUUAACUGUACUACAGUUAUAUAGCAGGAUAAGGAUACAUGCUUGUACUGCCUC
This is a long non-coding RNA of Triticum dicoccoides, 1210 nucleotides long. RefSeq lists it as uncharacterized. Lineage: Eukaryota; Viridiplantae; Streptophyta; Magnoliopsida; Poales; Poaceae. The transcript has 2 exons. The record is from RefSeq and is a predicted model, not a curated record.